This 453-nucleotide ribosomal RNA is filed under the name uncultured Bacteroides sp. RNAcentral's name for it is "partial 16S ribosomal RNA". It matches the Rfam family "Bacterial small subunit ribosomal RNA", at positions 341 to 792 of the family's 1533-position model. Lineage: Bacteria; Pseudomonadati; Bacteroidota; Bacteroidia; Bacteroidales; Bacteroidaceae. The record is from RNAcentral. RNAcentral also lists the same sequence under 1 other name.
ACGGAAGGCAGCAGUGAGGAAUAUUGGUCAAUGGGCGGAAGCCUGAACCAGCCAAGUCGCGUGAAGGAUGAAGGUAUUAUGUAUUGUAAACUUCUUUAGCCAGGGGGCAAUAAGGCGUACGCGUACGCCGAUGAGGGUACCUGGAGAAUAAGGAUCGGCUAACUCCGUGCCAGCAGCCGCGGUAAUACGGAGGAUCCGAGCGUUAUCCGGAUUUAUUGGGUUUAAAGGGUGCGCAGGCGGCUUUUUAAGUCAGUGGUUAAAUCGUGACGCUCAACGUCAUCACGCCAUUGAUACUGGAGAGCUUGAUUGCGGUCGAGGUUUGCGGAAUUCGUCGUGUAGCGGUGAAAUGCAUAGAUAUGACGAAGAACACCGAUUGCGUAGGCAGCAGACCAGGCCGUAAAUGACGCUCAUGCACGAAAGUGCGGGGAUCGAACAGGAUUAGAUACCCUGGUA